This 576-nucleotide ribosomal RNA is filed under the name Colletotrichum siamense. Its description in RNAcentral is "eukaryotic LSU rRNA". The stretch from base 185 to 338 matches the Rfam family "5.8S ribosomal RNA". The record is from RNAcentral. Lineage: Eukaryota; Fungi; Ascomycota; Sordariomycetes; Glomerellales; Glomerellaceae.
CCAAAGUAAGGACUACUGAGUUACGCUCUACACCCUUUGUGAAAUACCUAUAACUGUUGCUUCGGCGGGUAGGGUCUCCGCGACCCUCCCGGCCUCCCGCCUCCGGGCGGGUCGGCGCCCGCCGGAGGAUAACCAAACUCUGAUUUAACGACGUUUCUUCUGAGUGGUACAAGCAAAUAAUCAAAACUUUUAACAACGGAUCUCUUGGUUCUGGCAUCGAUGAAGAACGCAGCGAAAUGCGAUAAGUAAUGUGAAUUGCAGAAUUCAGUGAAUCAUCGAAUCUUUGAACGCACAUUGCGCCCGCCAGCAUUCUGGCGGGCAUGCCUGUUCGAGCGUCAUUUCAACCCUCAAGCUCUGCUUGGUGUUGGGGCCCUACAGCUGAUGUAGGCCCUCAAAGGUAGUGGCGGACCCUCCCGGAGCCUCCUUUGCGUAGUAACUUUACGUCUCGCACUGGGAUCCGGAGGGACUCUUGCCGUAAAACCCCCAAUUUUCCAAAGGUUGACCUCGGAUCAGGUAGGAAUACCCGCUGAACUUAAGCAUAUCAAUAAGCAGGGGAAAAAAAAAAACCCGAGAUUU